UACGAAGGGGGCUAGCGUUGUUCGGAUUUACUGGGCGUAAAGCGCACGUAGGCGGAUUGUUAAGUCAGGGGUGAAAUCCUGGAGCUCAACUCCAGAACUGCCUUUGAUACUGGGGAUCUCGAGUCCGGAAGAGGUGAGUGGAACUCCGAGUGUAGAGGUGAAAUUCGUAGAUAUUCGGAAGAACACCAGUGGCGAAGGCGGCUCACUGGUCCGGUACUGACGCUGAGGUGCGAAAGCGUGGGGAGCAAACAGG
Molecule: ribosomal RNA, 253 nt
Filed under: uncultured bacterium
Lineage: Bacteria
Description: partial 16S ribosomal RNA
Rfam family: Bacterial small subunit ribosomal RNA
Source: RNAcentral